UACGAAGGGGGCUAGCGUUACUCGGAUUGACUGGGCGUAAAGGGCGCGUAGGCGGCUUGUACAGUCAGACGUGAAAUCCCUGGGCUUAACCUAGGAACUGCAUCUGAUACUGGAUAGCUGGAGUGCGGUAGAGGGUAGUGGAAUUUCCGGUGUAGUGGUGAAAUGCGUAGAUAUCGGAAGGAACACCAGUGGCGAAGGCGGCUACCUGGACUGACACUGACGCUGAGGCGCGAGAGCGUGGGGAGCAAACAGG
RNAcentral lists this ribosomal RNA (253 nucleotides) under uncultured bacterium. RNAcentral's name for it is "partial 16S ribosomal RNA". It matches the Rfam family "Bacterial small subunit ribosomal RNA", at positions 524 to 776 of the family's 1533-position model. The record is from RNAcentral.